RNAcentral lists this ribosomal RNA (292 nucleotides) under uncultured bacterium. Its description in RNAcentral is "partial 16S ribosomal RNA". It matches the Rfam family "Bacterial small subunit ribosomal RNA", at positions 505 to 796 of the family's 1533-position model. The record is from RNAcentral.
GUGCCAGCCGCCGCGGUAAUACAGAGGGGGCCAGCGUUAUUCGGAAUUAUUGGGCGUAAAGGGCGCGUAGGCGGCCAUGCGUGUCUUCCGUGAAAUCCCUCGGCUCAACCGAGGACGUGCGGAAGAAACUGCAAGGCUCGAGUCCGGAAGAGGGGGGCGGAAUUCCCAGUGUAGCGGUGAAAUGCGUAGAUAUUGGGAGGAACACCAGUGGCGAAGGCGGUCCCCUGGGCCGGAACUGACGCUGAGGCGCGAAAGCGUGGGUAGCAAACGGGAUUAGAUACCCGCGUAGUCC